CAAGGAAUUUUCCGCAAUGGGCGCAAGCCUGACGGAGCGACGCCGCGUGGGGGAUGACGCAUUUCGGUGUGUAAACCCCUUUUCUGGGGGAAGAAGAGAGUGACGGUACCCCAGGAAGAAGGACCGGCUAACUACGUGCCAGCAGCCGCGGUAAGACGUAGGGUCCGAGCGUUGUCCGGAGUUACUGGGCGUAAAGGGCGCGUAGGCGGCUUCUUGCGUCCCACGUGAAAGCCCCUGGCUCAACCAGGGAGGGUCGUGGGAAACGGGGAAGCUGGAGGCAGCGAGAGGCUGGUGGAAUUCCCGGAGUAGUGGUGAAAUGCGUAGAGAUCGGGAGGAACACCGGUGGCGAAGGCGGCCAGCUGGCGCUGACCUGACGCUGAGGCGCGAAGGCGUGGGGAGCGAACG
This 405-nucleotide ribosomal RNA is filed under the name uncultured Nitrolancea sp. Its description in RNAcentral is "bacterial SSU rRNA". It matches the Rfam family "Bacterial small subunit ribosomal RNA", at positions 355 to 774 of the family's 1533-position model. The record is from RNAcentral. Lineage: Bacteria; Pseudomonadati; Thermomicrobiota; Thermomicrobia; Sphaerobacterales; Sphaerobacteraceae. RNAcentral also lists the same sequence under 1 other name.